Molecule: ribosomal RNA, 253 nt
Filed under: uncultured bacterium
Lineage: Bacteria
Description: partial 16S ribosomal RNA
Rfam family: Bacterial small subunit ribosomal RNA
Source: RNAcentral
UACGUAGGGGGCAAGCGUUGUCCGGAUUUAUUGGGCGUAAAGAGCGUGUAGGCGGCUAUACAGGUCCGCUGUGAAAACUCGAGGCUCAACCUCGAGACGUCGGUGGAAACCGUAUGGCUAGAGUCCGGAAGAGGAGAGUGGAAUUCCUGGUGUAGCGGUGAAAUGCGCAGAUAUCAGGAAGAACACCCGUGGCGAAGGCGGUUCUCUGGGACGGUACUGACGCUGAGACGCGAAAGCGUGGGGAGCGAACAGG